GCCCGCAUAGCUCAGUGGGAGAGCGCUACCUCGACACGGUAGAGGCCGAGGCUCGUUUCCUCGUGCGGGUACCA
Molecule: transfer RNA, 74 nt
Filed under: Actinomycetota bacterium
Lineage: Bacteria; Bacillati; Actinomycetota
Description: Actinobacteria bacterium (soil metagenome) tRNA-Val
Rfam family: tRNA
About the family: Transfer RNA (tRNA) molecules are approximately 80 nucleotides in length. Their secondary structure includes four short double-helical elements and three loops (D, anti-codon, and T loops). Further hydrogen bonds mediate the characteristic L-shaped molecular structure. tRNAs have two regions of fundamental functional importance: the anti-codon, which is responsible for specific mRNA codon recognition, and the 3' end, to which the tRNAs corresponding amino acid is attached (by aminoacyl-tRNA synthetases). tRNAs cope with the degeneracy of the genetic code in two manners: having more than one tRNA (with a specific anti-codon) for a particular amino acid; and 'wobble' base-pairing, i.e. permitting non-standard base-pairing at the 3rd anti-codon position.
Source: RNAcentral